This 1219-nucleotide long non-coding RNA is filed under the name Callithrix jacchus (white-tufted-ear marmoset). RNAcentral's name for it is "lncRNA (ENSCJAG00000079525.1)". The record is from RNAcentral. Lineage: Eukaryota; Metazoa; Chordata; Mammalia; Primates; Cebidae.
CUUUAAACUGAGAUCAUAUUAAAACCACCCCAUUUGCCUAAAGAUUGUUUCAAUUUACCAAUAAUUAAUAUUGUGUUUUAUAAUGUCUGGACAACAAACUAGAACAAGUAUACUACUUUUGAAGAGAAGUUAAAGUUUAAAGUUAUCUUGAAUCUCUUUAGAAACAAAAAUAUUCCAGAUAAUCACCCUUCUGGUAUGAAACUUACAUGUUAUACAGCGUGUCAGAAAAGACAGAAAGUGAAGAAAAAAAAUGAGUGAUAAUUCGAGUGCGAGUUCUAGCAGUGACCAGGGCCCUCCAGCAGGCAGCACACCAUGGUGUCCUUCCUCAAACAUGUCCUGAAGCAGAUCAUAAUGGCUGACAAGUCCAUGCAGCUGCUGAAGAACCUGCAAUGUGCAGAAAGCACCACCCACAGGCCGCAGCCAGAGACUUUAUAUUGUGGGUUCAGAAGGGAGACUGCUGUUGCUAACCCCUGCUGAGCAUCAUUUCUGGUGUGGCAGAGUUGACAAGCCUCCUGCUUCUGACUGCUCCUGACUCAUCUCUGCAGAGCAGACACUCUGCACUUCUUUAACAUCACUGAAGAAUGUUCUGGUAAGUAAAUUUUUCAGGAAUGCAAGCUUCCUGCUCAGAACACUCAAAUUUAGAAAUCUGGAACUAUUUCGCCCAUUAAUCUUUUAUGUUUUUGAGAUGGAGUCUUUCUCUUGUCACCCAGGCUGGAGUCCAGUGGCAAUCUCGACUCACUGCAACCUCCACCUCCAGGGUUCAACCAAUUUUCUUGUGCUAGCCUCCUGAGUAGCUGGGAUUACAGGUGCCUGCCACCACACCCAGCUAUAUUUUAUGUUUGCAGUAAAGAUAGAGUUUCACCGUGUUGGUCAGGCUGGUUUUAAAUUCCUGACCUCAGGUGAUCUGCCUGCCUUGGCCUCCCAAAAUGCUUGGUCUGUGCUAUGGUCAGGUCCAAAACAGGGCCAAGCCAAGUCUAGAGUGCUGGCCAGGGUAGGGUGAAACCUAGGGUAGGGCCAAGGCAGGGGCCAGGGCAGGGUGGUACCAAGAUGAAGGCAAGGACAGAGAAUGGCCAGGGUAGGGACAGAGCAAGGGCAAGAAUAGUGCAGGGUCAUGGCAUGGACAGGAUCCAGGGUCAGGGUCAGAACCAUAGCAUCACCAGCAACUGGACUGUGGCUAGGACAGUGACAGAGCCAGAGUAAGGGCCAGAGCAGUGCAAGG